CUACGUGCCAGCAGCCGCGGUAAUACGUAGGGUGCGAGCGUUAAUCGGAAUUACUGGGCGUAAAGCGUGCGCAGGCGGUUUGUUAAGACCGAUGUGAAAUCCCCGGGCUCAACCUGGGAACUGCAUUGGUGACUGGCAGGCUAGAGUAUGGCAGAGGGGGGUAGAAUUCCACGUGUAGCGGUGAAAUGCGUAGAGAUCUGGAGGAAUACCGGUGGCGAAGGCGGCCCCCUGGACAAAGACUGACGCUCAGGUGCGAAAGCGUGGGGAGCAAACAGGAUUAGAUACCCUGGUAGUCCACGCCGUAAACGAUGUCGACUUGGAGGUUGUGCCCUUGAGGCGUGGCUUCCGGAGCUAACGCGUUAAGUCGACCGCCUGGGGAGUACGGCCGCAAGGUUAAAACUCAAAUGAAUUGACGGGGGCCCGCACAAGCGGUGGAGCAUGUGGUUUAAUUCGAUGCAACGCGAAGAACCUUACCUACUCUUGACAUCCAGA
Molecule: ribosomal RNA, 492 nt
Filed under: uncultured bacterium
Lineage: Bacteria
Description: bacterial SSU rRNA
Rfam family: Bacterial small subunit ribosomal RNA
Source: RNAcentral